RNAcentral lists this small nuclear RNA (197 nucleotides) under Macleaya cordata. Its description in RNAcentral is "U2 spliceosomal RNA". It matches the Rfam family "U2 spliceosomal RNA". From Rfam's summary of the family: U2 is a small nuclear RNA (snRNA) component of the spliceosome (involved in pre-mRNA splicing). Complementary binding between U2 snRNA (in an area lying towards the 5' end but 3' to hairpin I) and the branchpoint sequence (BPS) of the intron results the bulging out of an unpaired adenosine, on the BPS, which initiates a nucleophilic attack at the intronic 5' splice site, thus starting the first of two transesterification reactions that mediate splicing. The record is from Rfam by way of RNAcentral. Lineage: Eukaryota; Viridiplantae; Streptophyta; Magnoliopsida; Ranunculales; Papaveraceae.
AUACCUUUCUCGGCCUUUUGGCUAAGAUCAAGUGUAGUAUCUGUUCUUAUCAGUUUAAUAUCUGAUACGUGGGACAUCGUUCCACAUGAUAUUAAAUUAAUUUUUUCUUGGGUGAGGUCCCACAACAAUGGCUUGCCAUUGGGGUCCUCAGGCGUCGCCCAUGCGUUGCACUAUUGCACGGGCCUGGCGCAACCCAU